CCUACGGGCGGCAGCAGUGGGGAAUAUUGCACAAUGGGGGAAACCCUGAUGCAGCGACGCCGCGUGAAGGAAGAAGUAUUUCGGUAUGUAAACUUCUAUCAGCAGGGAAGAAAAUGACGGUACCUGACUAAGAAGCCCCUGCUAACUACGGGCCAGCAGCCGCGGUAAAACGUAGGGGGCAAGCGUUAUCCGGAUUUACUGGGUGUAAAGGGAGCGUAGGCGGUUUAGCAAGUCAGAAGUGAAAGCCCAGGGCUCAACUCCGGGACUGCUUUUGAAACUGUUGAACUAGAGUGCAGGAGAGGUAAGUGGAAUUCCUAGUGUAGCGGUGAAAUGCGUAGAUAUUAGGAGGAACACCAGUGGCGAAGGCGACUUACUGGACUGUAAAUGACGCUGAGGCUCGAAAGCGUGGGGAGCAAACAGGAUUAGAUACCCGUGUAGUC
This 440-nucleotide ribosomal RNA is filed under the name uncultured bacterium. RNAcentral describes it as "partial 16S ribosomal RNA". It matches the Rfam family "Bacterial small subunit ribosomal RNA", at positions 338 to 795 of the family's 1533-position model. The record is from RNAcentral.